Molecule: long non-coding RNA, 361 nt
Filed under: Elaeis guineensis (African oil palm)
Lineage: Eukaryota; Viridiplantae; Streptophyta; Magnoliopsida; Arecales; Arecaceae
Description: long non-coding RNA (EGUI_LNC081559)
Source: RNAcentral
UGUAAGUUUAUACCACAUAUAUAUUAUCACACUCUCAUACAAAUCUUUGUUGAUUAAUGCUAUAAACACCAGUGUCCAAGGCUCAGAUGCUUUUUAAUAUGCAAAAUAUACUUAAACAGAAUGGUAACAAAAUGCAAAUCAAACUUAAUAUAUAUAGGUGCCAACUAGUGGAAUUGAAAAAAUCAUUGAGCUGGAGUGCCCAGCAACCUGUGUUCAAAUCCUGCUUCACCGGGUGGCUUGGUGGUGCACAAAUUCCUCCCCUCUUCUCAUCAACCUUAAUAACAGUACUGAUAUAAUGACAAUGAUGAUUUAAUCCAUAUAUUCUAUAAGUAGUUUGAAGGUAUAAGCUACAAUUGAAAAA